This is a long non-coding RNA of Lathyrus oleraceus (garden pea), 917 nucleotides long. RefSeq lists it as uncharacterized. The transcript has 5 exons. The record is from RefSeq and is a predicted model, not a curated record. Lineage: Eukaryota; Viridiplantae; Streptophyta; Magnoliopsida; Fabales; Fabaceae.
AAACACCAGUGAUAUUGACUGUUCACCAUUUUGAGGUUCAGGUCGUAUGGUUCAUGGUUGUAUGGCCUAGCUCAAACCAUUGUUCCAACUUCAGUCAUCAUAUCAUGACCUUAUGGAGUUCAUGUUUUGAUUUGGCUGCUGCAGUACCAUGAUGGCAAGAUGCGUCAAGGUUUGUGAUAGUGGUCAAGGCAUUUGCAAGGGUACUUGUGAGCGAAGCAGCAAGGGUGUUGUUAUGUUAACACAAGUUGGCGGCUAACUUCAACUUUUACUUCACCAUUCCGCUUCUGUUUCGAUAGGAACAACUGUUGGUUUUGACGGCGUGCAUCAUCUAUAUGUGUUAUAUGAGAUGCUUUGGAUUUUUGCUUGGGAUGCUUUGCCGGUGAUUUUUGCUUCUGUUGUGAAAAUGCAGGUUUCCGUGUUGCUUUGGUCAUUGCAAUUUGUAUACAAAGGAUAGGAAGAUCGUGCAUUGGUGGUGGUUGAACCAUGGUAGUGAGCUGGUCUGUCUACUGAUAGUCAUGUUGCUGUGCAGGUUUAAGAGAAUGUGGAUCAAAGGAGAAAUUGAACAUAUCAUCUCUGACAGAACUUUAGUCACGGAAGUUUUCUGCAUAUUCUGAGAUUGGAGAAUUUAAAUUGAUAUUUCUGGCUGGAAAAUUGAUGUUUCUGCUAUAACUUGUGUUUUGGCCAAUGUCAAGAAGAUCAGACGGGGUCUUGUCUACAAGGUUAUUUAGCGAGAGUCCCGUUGUGCCUGAUGAAGAAGGAAGCGUGUUCUCACGAGGUUGAUCCCAAUUAUAUUGCAUACCAAUAUUAGCACUUAUGUUACUAGUCGGGAAUGUAUCCAAAAGCUCUUCAGUGUUGUUUUACCACAUGUAACAGUACCUUUGGUGUAAUUUGGAUAUGGACAUGGGUUUAUUUUAGGG